UGUCUGGCAAUACCAACCAGUUUUUUUUUGUUGAUUCUCAGGCUUUAUCACUCAUCUCUACUAACUCUCCUUUAAAUUAAAAAACAUUAUAAGUGUGUGUGUGUAGGUGUUGUUGUUAUUAUUUAUACACUCCUACUAUUAAAAUAAUACUUUUUUUAUACAACCUGCCUAACAUUGACCAUAAAAAUGUAACUCUUGUGUUUGUCGAUAAAAAAGAAAAAUAAAACAUGUGCUUUAAGUUUUGUUGGACGAAGAAUUUAUUAAAAAUUAUUAAUUUUAACAAAUAUAGUGAUUAAUAAUAGAAUAUUGAAUUAAUAAAUUGUGCAAAAUGUAAGAAAUUAAGAGUGCUUAUGAAAAGUGAAAGAAUUUUUAAAGAGAAAUAUGGGAAGUGUAAAUUUCAUGAAAAUUAUUCACCAAAAGUUCUAAGGGAAGAACUCAUCAUGGUCCAGAGGAAUAUGAUCAGCAGAUAUGCUAGCGGAGUGGCAAUGUACAAGGAUGACUACACAGGGAGCAACAUCAGCAGGCAGCAGUUAACAGCAGCCUUUCGCAGAAAAUAAAAAAAAUAGAACUUAAAAAAACGGAAACGGCUCAACAUGAUUUGCCAAUAUUUGGAAUACAGUAACAACAACAAGAACACUUUUUUCUAUUACUAUGUGCAACUUUUUGUGAUUUUUACUAAAAACCAUUCAUUAGAACUACAUAGUUUGACACUUAAACCACAAGAGUUAAGCAAAUUUCGAAAUGAAGAGCGUAAACGAUAAAGGACAAAGAAAGGAUAUUAACAAAGCGGCUGGAAAUGCUAAAAUUAUUAUGAUUAUUAGAAAAAAGGGUUGUUAUUGCAGCAACAACACACUGAGGACGUGAGAACAUUACAAAUUCAAAAAAUACUGGGACCAGAAUGUACAGGAUCCUUGAAUGCGGACUUCUAGAUUUAUUUGCUGAAAUCGUAUUUAUUUAAUUUGUUAUGAGCCCUUUAUAUUAAGUAAUUAUUUCAAUAAAACACUUACAUAUUUUAUUU
This is a long non-coding RNA of Lucilia cuprina (Australian sheep blowfly), 1018 nucleotides long. RefSeq lists it as uncharacterized. NCBI's taxonomy places the organism in Eukaryota, Metazoa, Arthropoda, Insecta, Diptera, Calliphoridae. The transcript is spliced from 3 exons. The record is from RefSeq and is a predicted model, not a curated record.